Molecule: long non-coding RNA, 1142 nt
Filed under: Marmota monax (woodchuck)
Lineage: Eukaryota; Metazoa; Chordata; Mammalia; Rodentia; Sciuridae
Source: RNAcentral
CGUCUCCCUGCCUCCUCCCGCGCCCGCCUCCCUACCUCUCUCCCUCCCUCCGCCUCUCCGCCCUCCCCCCAACCCCGCUCCUUUUUCUGCUCCCCAAGUGAGCCUGGCGCGCGAGAGGCAGGCGGGGCGGCGCAGAGCAGAGCAGGCAGCCUAGCGCGCUCGCCCACCGCCCGCCCGGCGCAGCUCCCCGAGGCCACUCUAGUCGCCGCCGCCGGCGCGUCGGAGAGAGCCCAGCAUGGCCGGGCCGGGCUCACAGCGCCGAGCGUCCCGGGGGGCCUCGGCGCUCCUGGCCGCCGCGCUUCUCUACGCCGCGCUGGGGGAUGUGGUGCGCUCGGAGCAGCAGAUCCCGCUCUCCGUGUAAGUGCCGGGUGCUGCGCCGCCCGGGGAGGGGACCCCGCCGCCCGCAACCCACUGUGCCCAAGUUUGGGCACCUGCAGGUGCGGCUGGACAGGACCUGCCAGGGGCGCCGGCCUUGCCGGCCUCGCCUCUCGCACCUGCCUUUCAGGAUCAGCGUGAGGCGGCGAAGCUGGGGUGGGAUCCUCUCAGCCCUUCCUUCGGGUUGGCGAGUGAGACCUGGAGAGGCUCACCUCAAGUGACAGCACCAAGUUUGGAGCCUGUUUACCGACUCCAACUUCCAUGGGCCAUUUAAUUACCUCCUUCUUUGCUACCUUGUCAUCUCACUUAUUUUGUGGGAAGGGGGAUGGGUGGUGGAUUUUUUUUCGGACUAGUAUGUAUGUCCAGCGAUGCCCAUUUUGGGUGAUCAAGUCUUCAGGUAAUUGUUCAAAUAAAACCCACUGGGCUUUUUGGAGAGCCCGGGAGACUUUGCGCAUUCUGAACUAUGUGACCCCCCUAGUAUCCCCUCCCGCGCUGUGCUCUGCAGUUUGGCACCGGUAGUUUCUGCCAGGGCGCUUUUUCUAGCUUUUCUCCCCUUUUCUUUGAUGUUACAUUGCUCGGGUUCUUUCAGCCAUAGCCCCGUGUGUGCGUGCGUGUCGACUGUGGCACGAGUGUUACAUUUCAUCCUGUGCCCUUUCUCCCUGUAGGGUGAAGCUGUGGGCCUCCGCUUUUGGUGGAGAGAUAAAAUCCAUCGCUGCUAAGUACUCCGGUUCCCAGCUUCUGCAAAAGGUAAGGUUUCCGUGGUGGCA